Molecule: ribosomal RNA, 373 nt
Filed under: uncultured organism
Description: partial 16S ribosomal RNA
Rfam family: Bacterial small subunit ribosomal RNA
Source: RNAcentral
GUAGGUGGCAAGCGUUGUCCGGAAUUAUUGGGCGUAAAGCGCGCGCAGGCGGUUCUUUAAGUCUGAUGUGAAAGCCCACGGCUCAACCGUGGAGGGUCAUUGGAAACUGGAGAACUUGAGUACAGAAGAGGAAAGCGGAAUUCCACGUGUAGCGGUGAAAUGCGUAGAGAUGUGGAGGAACACCAGUGGCGAAGGCGGCUUUCUGGUCUGUAACUGACGCGGAGGCGCGAAAGCGUGGGGAGCAAACAGGGAUUAGAUACCCUGGUAGUCCACGCCGUAAACGAUGAGUGCUAAGUGUUAGGGGGUUUCCGCCCCCUUAGUGCUGCAGCUAACGCAUUAAGCACUCCGCCUGGGGAGUACGGCCGCAAGGCUG